CUUCCUGUGGUCUAAUUUUAGGGUUAACAGAGGUCGUUUUGGUCUGGUUGGGGCUGUGUAAGCUUUUCUUGGUCUAAUUUUGGGGUUAACAGAGGUCGUCUUGGUCUGGUUGGGAUUGUGUAAGCUUCUCGUGGUCUAAUUUUGGGGUUAACAGAGGUCGUCUUGGUCUGGUUGGGGUUGUGUAAGGUUUUUGUGGUCUAAUUUUGGGGUUAACAGAGGUCGUCUUGGUCUGGUUGGGGUUGUGUAAGGUUUUUGUGGUCUAAUUUUGGGGUUAACAGAGGUCGUCUUGGUCUGGUUGGGGUUGUGUAAGGUUUUUGUGGUCUAAUUUUGGGGUUAACAGAGGUCGUUUAGGUCUGGUUGGGGUUGUGUAAGCUUCCUGUGGUCUAAUUUUGGGGUUAACAGAGGUCGUCUUGGUCUGGUUGGGAUUGGGUAAGCUUCUCGUGGUCUAAUUUUGGGGUUAACAGAGGUCGUUUAGGUCUGGUUGGGGUUGUGUAAGCUUCCUGUGGUCUAAUUUUGGGGUUAACAGAGGUCGUCUUGGUCUGGUUGCUUGGGUCUGUUUUGGUCUGUACUGGACUUCGUUAGGUUUGAUUCUUGUCAUUUUUCGUCUUGCUCAAGCUGGUCUAUAGUAAUUUUGGUAUGUAUUGGGCUUGGUUGGGCUUGAUUCUUGUCGUUUUCCGUCUUGCUCAAGCUGGUCUAUGGUAAUUUUGGUCUGUACUGGGCUUGACUGGGCUUGAUUCUUCUCGCUUUUCGUCUUUCUCAAGCUGUUCCGUAAUAAGCUUGGUCUGUGUAGGUUUUGACUCUGUUCUUUUAUCGGUCUGUGUUAAUCUGUUUUGUGAUAAUCUUGCUCCGAAGGUGAUUCUGGGUCUAUUCUGGUCUUAUCAUUGGUCUGGGCUCAAACUUAUGCGUGACAGUUCUGCUCUGUAAGUAAUUUUGUCUGGGCAGGGUUUGAUUUUGGUCUUAUUUUCGGUCUAAGAGUCAUAUUCCCAAGCUCACCUAUUUGACAAAGCUUUCCUAGGAGUUUUGAGCAUUUUCAUGGGUAGCUUCAUGACCCUGGCGGUAGUCUGACCCCUCUCCUGAACCAUGAACCUAAACAAACACUCAAUAAAACCCAACUGAUCUCAUUUUUGGCCUUUGGAAAGAGUUGAUGUGAGAGGCGGAACCGUCUGAGAAUACCAUCCUAAGUCAUCAUCAUCAUCAUUAUCAUCAUUUAACGUCCAUUUAUUCCCUAUGGUGGGGUUGGACGGGAUAUGAGCCUCCUCCACUGUUGCCGGUCUAUAGCUAUUUCUUCCGUGAUGUUCAGCCUCAUAUCUUCCUCCACCACCUUUCUCCACGUCUCCCUUGGCCUUCCUGGUGUCCUCUAAGUCAAUCUUGUGUAUGCUAACCUUGGCCUCUACAUAAUUCGGCCCCUGUAGACUUUGGUACUGGUCAUAUAUUCAGCCUGAGUCAGUCUUGUGUAUGCUAACCUUGGCCUCUACAUAAUUCGGCCCCUGUAGGCUUUGGUACUGGUCAUAUAUUUAGCCUGAGUCAGUCUUGUGUAUGCUAACCUUGGUCUGUACGUGAUAAAGUAUGUGAAAGGUUUAGUUCUGGUCAUAUAUCCGGGCUGCGUCAAACCAGUGUAUGCUAACCCUGCUCUACAAGUGAUUGGGUCUCUGUGGGCAUCUGUUCCGGUCAUAAUUUCAACCUGUAAGUAGCGGGCUUUUUUUUCUUUUCUUUUUUUUACGCCCAUGAACUGUCUCCUUAGCUGUAAAAAAAAAAAAAAAAACCCUAUGUCUAACUGAAGCGUGAUAAUCCGUUGCUACUUUAAAAUCAGCACCGUCGUGGCUAUAGUUGAGGUGUUCCUGAUCGUGUCAAAUUCCAGUUCGUGUCUGCGGUUACUCAAUCUUUUUUUCGUCCGACUGGUCCAAGUCAUGCACGCUGGACGGACAUUCACACUUUCGCCACUUUGCACACGUGUAGCGCCACUGCAACACACACACAUAAGUUUUACCGGUCAAUGCAGAUCUAGAUAACUCCUCCUUCUCCUUCCUUCCUCUUCCUUCUUUCUCCUCC
Molecule: long non-coding RNA, 2049 nt
Organism: Eriocheir sinensis (Chinese mitten crab)
Lineage: Eukaryota; Metazoa; Arthropoda; Malacostraca; Decapoda; Varunidae
Exons: 3
Source: RefSeq, a predicted model, not a curated record